GCGGAAGUAGUUCAGUGGUAGAACACCACCUUGCCAAGGUGGGGGUCGCGGGUUCGAGUCCCGUCUUCCGCUCCA
Molecule: transfer RNA, 75 nt
Filed under: Geobacillus stearothermophilus
Lineage: Bacteria; Bacillati; Bacillota; Bacilli; Caryophanales; Anoxybacillaceae
Also listed under: 128 other names
Description: mature tRNA (75-MER) from Geobacillus stearothermophilus (PDB 9OWL, chain C)
Rfam family: tRNA
About the family: Transfer RNA (tRNA) molecules are approximately 80 nucleotides in length. Their secondary structure includes four short double-helical elements and three loops (D, anti-codon, and T loops).
Source: RNAcentral